UGUAGAAACAAGCCUUGAUCUGGAAGGCACCUCCCUGUCAGUCCCCAGGGCAGAUCUGGAGGCUGUCCCCAGCCUGCCCUGCAGCCACCCCCAGCUCCAGCCACUGCAGGACAGGCUCCUGCGGAGGGCUGCCCUCCUGCCGCCGGUGGGAGACCUUGCAGAAGAGGCUGCAGGAGCCUCUGCCGUUACAUCUGCAUUCAGUCUUUGCCCAGACACAGGAUGAAGAAUUUCUCCUCUCAGGAGAUUCAUGGGAUCCCACCUGUGGCUGUCUCUGUGUUUGUAAAUCCUGGGUCUGGACUAACAUGAUAUUCAGGGAUCCAGUCCGAAGAGCUCCUGAUGCAGUUCUGCUCUCCUCCUCUGCCUCUCCCAAGGGAAGGCAGGUCUUGACCACACACACUGACAAUACAGGACCUCUGCCUUGAACUUUGUGCCUCAGACUUCAGCUUUGUGAGCCCUUAGAUGGCCCUUCUGCAGCUGCAUCAGGCCACACACAGUCCCAAGUCUCUGCUGGGAGGUGACAGGCACAGACCUGGCACUGGAUCCGUGAAUAUUUCUCCUCUGCAAAGUCAAACAGGCCAAAAAUAAAUGCUAGUGAAGGAAUAAACAGACGUGAAAAGAAGGCUUGGACUUGGAAGACAAGACUGCUUUGUGUUUCCCAAAGCAAAGAGCCUGUUCACAAGGAGGUUACUCUUGUAAAAAAACACGAGUCCUGUGACACUGCCAAGGAGCCCUAGGCAAGGACCUACAGCACUUACUGUCCUACCGACAUGGAAGAAAAUCAGAUGAGCCCCUGCCCCAGGGGGACGACGACAGCCCCAGCAGCCAGAGCACACCCCAGUUUCCUUUCAGAAACAAAAAUUGAAAACAAAUUGUCCUAUACACAAAACAAAGGGACAGAUCCUCAGCUGGAAUGGACUGGUAUAACCAAAUGAGUAACACCCACUCACAGGAGAGACUUUUAACAACAGCCGCUGAUCCUGCUCUGCCCAGAAGAGAGAGAUCUUCGGCCCUGGGUUUUAGAUGGCAGCAGCGUUGACUCUAGGUAGCUUGAAAAAGAUGAAGGGCUGCCUUCAGAGAAGCUGAAAAGGCACCAGGGCUCCAAGGACUCUGCACUGUAUGCUUCCCAAACCUGGAACUGACUCCAAGUGCAUGAGCCAGUGGACACAACAGCAACAAAAUAACUGAUACCAGCAUGGCCCUGAAAUUAAUGAGCUGCUUUGGAGAACUGCUGGCAAAGCAGGCUUCCAGAAACCACUUACAUGUGGGGUUUACUUUCUGGAGAGAGGCUUGUCUCAGAUUUUUCUCUCAAAAACCAAGACAGGGCUGAUCACUGUCUUGAAAAUGACAUGAGAGAUCCCCAAGAAAAUAUUAACUGUACAGUACAGGAGAACGAAUGCAUGACUAAUUGUGAUCCAUCCCAGCCAGUCCUGCCCCCGAGAGAGACUGCAGCACAGCACAAUUGCACCCGGCGUUUGGGAAAUGCCGUUAGCCGUGAACAAGUUACUAAGAGCAGCAGUUAUUGGCUUUGGGUCCUGCCAGCACAAACUAUGACUCUCAUUGGGCUGUCCUUUGUGCAGACCCAAGCACGCUCCAGAAGCACCCAUGUAAGCCAGGUUCAUUAGUCUCCUUCACCCAAAAAGAAAACAACAAAAAUACACACACUAGGAAAAUUCCGGAAGCCUCUCACUUUGCCAAGAACAGACGACAUCGCCGCUGCUGCUGUCGCCAGCAGAGAGAGCGGCCCAGCUCCCUGUCCUCGGGAUCCAGCGGAGGCCCCUGGAGGACCCAAUGCACAGGAGGGUGCACUGCGCUGGGACCGAAAGUGAACAAACGCCUGCGCACCAGUGGAUGAGCACCCAUCCCCUGGGGCUGACAAGGGGUGUGGAUUUACACAAGGGGGAAAGGAGAGAAGUGCUCAGUCACCAUGUCCGUCCCGUUCAUCUCCAGCGCACUGCACAGGCCACGUGCAAGAGGCACAGGGAGCCCUCGUGC
Non-coding RNA from Phalacrocorax carbo (great cormorant), 1992 nucleotides. Lineage: Eukaryota; Metazoa; Chordata; Aves; Suliformes; Phalacrocoracidae. The record is from RefSeq and is a predicted model, not a curated record.